This 66-nucleotide transfer RNA is filed under the name Macropsis irenae. RNAcentral's name for it is "tRNA-Ser". The record is from RNAcentral. Lineage: Eukaryota; Metazoa; Arthropoda; Insecta; Hemiptera; Cicadellidae.
AAGUUAAUUAGCUUAAAAAAAGUGUAUAUUUUGAAAAUAUAAGAUAGAUUUGUUUUUAUUAACUUA